Molecule: transfer RNA, 97 nt
Filed under: Anaeromyxobacter diazotrophicus
Lineage: Bacteria; Pseudomonadati; Myxococcota; Myxococcia; Myxococcales; Anaeromyxobacteraceae
Description: tRNA-Gln
Source: RNAcentral
CGCUCGGGCUGGUGGAGCGGCAGCCGCUCUCGGCCCUGGCCUGGGCCUCGCCGGAGGAGCUCUCGACGGCCCCGGGGAUCGGCCUCGCGCGGGCGGC